GUGGGUAGUUUGACUGGGGCGGUCUCCUCCUAAAGAGUAACGGAGGAGCACGAAGGUUGGCUAAUCCUGGUCGGACAUCAGGAGGUUAGUGCAAUGGCAUAAGCCAGCUUGACUGCGAGCGUGACGGCGCGAGCAGGUGCGAAAGCAGGUCAUAGUGAUCCGGUGGUUCUGAAUGGAAGGGCCAUCGCUCAACGGAUAAAAGGUACUCCGGGGAUAACAGGCUGAUACCGCCCAAGAGUUCAUAUCGACGGCGGUGUUUGGCACCUCGAUGUCGGCUCAUCACAUCCUGGGGCUGAAGUAGGUCCCAAGGGUAUGGCUGUUCGCCAUUUAAAGUGGUACGCGAGCUGGGUUUAGAACGUCGUGAGACAGUUCGGUCCCUAUCUGCCGUGGGCGCUGGAGAACUGAGGGGGGCUGCUCCUAGUACGAGAGGACCGGAGUGGACGCAUCACUGGUGUUCGGGUUGUCAUGCCAAUGGCACUGCCCGGUAGCUAAAUGCGGAAGAGAUAAGUGCUGAAAGCAUCUAAGCACGAAACUUGCCCCGAGAUGAGUUCUCCCUGAGACUUUAGGUCUCCUGAAGGAACGUUGAAGACGACGACGUUGAUAGGCCGGGUGUGUAAGCGCAGCGAUGCGUUGAGCUAACCGGUACUAAUGAACCGUGAGGCUUAACCU
Molecule: ribosomal RNA, 669 nt
Filed under: Salmonella enterica
Lineage: Bacteria; Pseudomonadati; Pseudomonadota; Gammaproteobacteria; Enterobacterales; Enterobacteriaceae
Also listed under: 6 other names
Description: partial 23S ribosomal RNA
Rfam family: Bacterial large subunit ribosomal RNA
Source: RNAcentral